Molecule: long non-coding RNA, 617 nt
Filed under: Homo sapiens (human)
Lineage: Eukaryota; Metazoa; Chordata; Mammalia; Primates; Hominidae
Description: non-protein coding lnc-LAMB2-2:1
Source: RNAcentral
CCGUGCCAGUCCCUACCCCUAGUGCCCCGCAGCGUGCCAGCCCACUGAUGCCGGCAGGGCCGUUACGCUAUGCCUGUGGCCAGCCUCCCACCUGGGAGAGGACUGGCGGCCAGCGAGGGCAACUUCGUGGGAGAGGUGGUGGCGGGCUCGGGGUUCAGAGGCUGAAGCUGGGUCGCAGCUCGACCGGGGCGCUGAUCUGUGGCUGUCCGUUCCUUGCUGGAGAAUUUGGCCACAAAGAGUUGCCAAGAUAGCUGGGCCAGGAAGAAAGCGCCGCAGCCCUGACCCAGACGCUGUUGCCGACCCCGGGGCACUCUGGCUGUCGACCAAGCGGCUCAAGAUGUCUGGCGGGGCCAGUGCCACAGGCCCAAGGAGAGGGCCCCCAGGACUGGAGGACACCACUAGUAAGAAGAAGCAGAAGGAUCGAGCAAACCAGGAGAGCAAGGAUGGAGAUCCUAGGAAAGAGACAGGGUCUCGAUAUGUUGCCCAGGCUGGUCUUGAACCUCUGGCCUCAGGUGAUCCUUCUGCCUCAGCCUCCCAUGCAGCUGGGAUCACAGGCUCACGCCACCGUACCCGGCUGUUCUUUCCUUCAUCGUCAGGGUCAGCAUCCACUCCUCAAG